AAACGGGCUCUUAACCACUGACACUAAACGUCAGGGUGAGCAGAUCAAAAGGGUAAUGAGGAUAAGACCUCAUAGCUCUUAACCCUGGACAGGGUAAGCUCAUGACAAAAAGUGGGGAUUCAGAAAGGUGGAACCCUCUCCACUGACCGACCGGACAAAAGAUCUUGGGCUUUUGUUCUGAAGCAUCGACACAUAGUGCGAGCAUAAAGAACGACACACAGAAUAACAGGGGAUUGACUACUAAUCCCUUUUAU
RNAcentral lists this long non-coding RNA (254 nucleotides) under Lathyrus oleraceus (garden pea). RNAcentral's name for it is "Pisum sativum (pea) long non-coding RNA (PSAT_LNC022506)". The record is from RNAcentral. Lineage: Eukaryota; Viridiplantae; Streptophyta; Magnoliopsida; Fabales; Fabaceae.